RNAcentral lists this microRNA (24 nucleotides) under Lotus japonicus. Its description in RNAcentral is "lja-miR5287c-3p". The record is from miRBase by way of RNAcentral. Lineage: Eukaryota; Viridiplantae; Streptophyta; Magnoliopsida; Fabales; Fabaceae.
GCUUAUAUUUGUGACCGGAGGGUG